Long non-coding RNA from Herpailurus yagouaroundi (jaguarundi), 796 nucleotides. RefSeq lists it as uncharacterized. The record is from RefSeq and is a predicted model, not a curated record. The transcript has 3 exons. Lineage: Eukaryota; Metazoa; Chordata; Mammalia; Carnivora; Felidae.
CGGCGGCGGCCCGGCCCAGCCCUGCGCGCCGCCAUGUUGGCCUCCUCCUCCGCCUGCGCCUCCGCCUCCGCCUCCUCCGGCCCGCGGGGCCGCGCCUCCGCUCCCGGAAGCGGCCCGGGCCGCCCCAGCAGCCGGAGUGAAUUUUCCCUGGCGCCCUGUGACUAAUGGGCAGAACUAUCCCCUGGGCGUGCAGAUUCCUUCCCUUCCUUCCACUUUGGAAGGCCUUUCCCUUGUAGCAGUAAACUGAAGACUCUAUGGGAGCAGGACCUCCGUCUGCUCCUUUGCUACAUUCCCAGGACGUCAUGGACAGUGGACACUCAGUACACGUCCCUCCUCUGAAUGACUGGAGAACGGCUGCCUGGCAGGAAUUCCACUCCUCCAGUGGGCAUGAAUGCAUCCAACCAUGUUUAAGUAUCUCCCGGUGUGGCGGCUGUCACCCCACCCUCGCUUUUCUCCCUUGGAACUUUGUGCAAUUUCCCAGUGCUCCUGACUCAUGUCAGGGAGGCCUCCACCUUCCAUACAUUUGGAAGGGCCCAGGGACUUCUAACCACUGGGUGACUGGCUGAUUGAGCCCCGGAAGCCCCGUAGUCUCCCAUGUUUCCUUCUCGGUUCUCAUUGGGAGAAUUCCAGGCCCCUGGGAAACAGAGGCCUCUGGUGUGCCUAGGAGAGGACCAGCCACCCCAUAGCAAGCAGUUCUUCCUCCUCAGUAGCUACCACCACCCAGCCCCAAGGGAGUUAAACCUGUUCUUUAUCUCCUUGAAACCCAGGCCAACUUUGAUAAAAGGAAAAAUCUUUC